AUGCAAGUGAUUUACAUAUUUUUCCCUAUCUGGUCAGCAGCUUCUGUAGAUAUCAAUAACUAAGGUUUACACAGGCCUUUGACUUUUAUCCAGGCCCCAUGGUGUACAAAAUGAUUGUUUCAUAACUCUUCCUCUUUGCUUGAUUUGUAAUUAGGAUGGAGGUGUAUUCAUAAUUUGAUAAAGAAGCAAUUGGAAAGAAGGAAGGAAGGAAGGAAGGAAGGAAGGAAGGAAGGAAGGAAGGAAGGAAGGAAGUCAACAUCUCAUUCUUUCUCCCUCUGGGUCUGUUUGUGUGUGUGUGUGUGUGUGUGUGAGAGAGAGAGAGAGAGAGAGAGAGAGAGAUCAGGUGUUUGGUUUGAUUAGAGAAAAACAGCAUCAUUGGGAAUGGUGAGAUAUGGACGAAAGGAAAAAAUAAAUAAAUCAGUAUGGAGGAAGCGCAGAAAGAUAGAGGGGAAAGUGGCAUCCAGACGCAAAUACAUUUGCACAUAUGAAGCUGUUCUAAUGAGAGCCAAAUUGAUUUGACAUUCAGUGGCAGUUUCAAGCCAAGAAAAGCAAAGCAGCCUACAAAAGGCCCAGCUCAUUGUUUAUGGAGUGUCAUACUGCAUCAUCUGUGAGACCAAUAACAGUGAUGGGAAGACCUUUAAAAGCGAGGAAUAUGCAGGAGAUGGUUGUGUGGCUACUACGGAUGUCAGAACCAAUAGACAGGCUUCAAUAAUACUUGGCUCUUCUUCAACCGGGAAAUCAAGCACUUUGAAUUGGGCCCAGGCAGCAACUGGUAGCCAAUGUAAUUUAAACAGAAUUGGCUUGAUGUGUUCCCUAGCGGUGCCACCACUCACCAGCCACGCAGCUCAAUUCUGGACAAGUUGCAGUCGCCAGAUCAUUUUCAAAGGCCGCCCCACAGAUUGCAGUAAUCUAAUGUGAGAUGUUACCAGUGUGUGUGUGUAACUGUCAUGAGACUCCGCUGCCCUCAGACUAUGGAACGCCCUCCCCAUUGAGAUUCGUCUGGCGCUGAUGUUGAUGACAUUUUGGCGCCAGGUCAAAAUCUUCCUGUUCCAGAAGGCUUUUAAUUGAAAUAAUAUCAACUGUGGGUCCUGAUGGCAAUUUUUAGAAUAUAUAUUUUUAAUUGUAUUUUAAUUGUUUUAUCUCUUUUUUAUUGUAUUUUAAUUGUUGUAAGCUGCCCAGAGACCUUUGGGUAGUGUGGGCGGCAUAUAAGUUAAAUAAAUAAUUAAAUAAUAUAUGGAGACUGUAAUGU
RNAcentral lists this long non-coding RNA (1249 nucleotides) under Pogona vitticeps (central bearded dragon). RNAcentral describes it as "lncRNA (ENSPVIG00000023977.1)". Lineage: Eukaryota; Metazoa; Chordata; Lepidosauria; Squamata; Agamidae. The record is from RNAcentral.